GAUGAACGCUGGCGGCGUGCCUAAUACAUGCAAGUCGAGCGAACGGACGAGAAGCUUGCUUCUCUGAUGUUAGCGGCGGACGGGUGAGUAACACGUGGAUAACCUACCUAUAAGACUGGGAUAACUUCGGGAAACCGGAGCUAAUACCGGAUGAUAUUUUGAACCGCAUGGUUCAAAAGUGAAAGACGGUCUUGCUGUCACUUAUAGAUGGAUCCGCGCUGCAUUAGCUAGUUGGUAAGGUAACGGCUUACCAAGGCAACGAUGCAUAGCCGACCUGAGAGGGUGAUCGGCCACACUGGAACUGAGACACGGUCCAGACUCCUACGGGAGGCAGCAGUAGGGAAUCUUCCGCAAUGGGCGAAAGCCUGACGGAGCAACGCCGCGUGAGUGAUGAAGGUCUUCGGAUCGUAAAACUCUGUUAUUAGGGAAGAACAUAUGUGUAAGUAACUGUGCACAUCUUGACGGUACCUAAUCAGAAAGCCACGGCUAACUACGUGCCAGCAGCCGCGGUAAUACGUAGGUGGCAAGCGUUAUCCGGAAUUAUUGGGCGUAAAGCGCGCGUAGGCGGUUUUUUAAGUCUGAUGUGAAAGCCCACGGCUCAACCGUGGAGGGUCAUCGGAAACUGGAAAACUUGAGUGCAGAAGAGGAAAGUGGAAUUCCAUGUGUAGCGGUGAAAUGCGCAGAGAUAUGGAGGAACACCAGUGGCGAAGGCGACUUUCUGGUCUGUAACUGACGCUGAUGUGCGAAAGCGUGGGGAUCAAACAGGAUUAGAUACCCUGGUAGUCCACGCCGUAAACGAUGAGUGCUAAGUGUUAGGGGGUUUCCGCCCCUUAGUGCUGCAGCUAACGCAUUAAGCACUCCGCCUGGGGAGUACGACCGCAAGGUUGAAACUCAAAGGAAUUGACGGGGACCCGCACAAGCGGUGGAGCAUGUGGUUUAAUUCGAAGCAACGCGAAGAACCUUACCAAAUCUUGACAUCCUUUGACAACUCUAGAGAUAGAGCCUUCCCCUUCGGGGGACAAAGUGACAGGUGGUGCAUGGUUGUCGUCAGCUCGUGUCGUGAGAUGUUGGGUUAAGUCCCGCAACGAGCGCAACCCUUAAGCUUAGUUGCCAUCAUUAAGUUGGGCACUCUAAGUUGACUGCCGGUGACAAACCGGAGGAAGGUGGGGAUGACGUCAAAUCAUCAUGCCCCUUAUGAUUUGGGCUACACACGUGCUACAAUGGACAAUACAAAGGGCAGCGAAACCGCGAGGUCAAGCAAAUCCCAUAAAGUUGUUCUCAGUUCGGAUUGUAGUCUGCAACUCGACUACAUGAAGCUGGAAUCGCUAGUAAUCGUAGAUCAGCAUGCUACGGUGAAUACGUUCCCGGGUCU
Molecule: ribosomal RNA, 1372 nt
Filed under: uncultured bacterium
Lineage: Bacteria
Description: bacterial SSU rRNA
Rfam family: Bacterial small subunit ribosomal RNA
Source: RNAcentral